RNAcentral lists this ribosomal RNA (433 nucleotides) under uncultured bacterium. RNAcentral's name for it is "partial 16S ribosomal RNA". It matches the Rfam family "Bacterial small subunit ribosomal RNA", at positions 29 to 507 of the family's 1533-position model. The record is from RNAcentral.
AACGAACGCUGGCGGCAUGCCCAACACAUGCAAGUCGAACGAGACCUUCGGGUCUAGUGGCGCACGGGUGCGUAACGCGUGGGAACCUGCCCUUAGGUUCGGAAUAACUCCCCGAAAGGGGUGCUAAUACCGGAUAAUGUCUUCGGACCAAAGAUUUAUCGCCUUUGGAUGGGCCCGCGUUGGAUUAGCUAGUUGGUAGGGUAAAAGCCUACCAAGGCGACGAUCCAUAGCUGGUCUGAGAGGAUGAUCAGCCACACUGGGACUGAGACACGGCCCAGACUCCUACGGGAGGCAGCAGUGGGGAAUAUUGGUCAAUGGGCGAAAGCCUGAUCCAGCAAUGCCGCGUGAGUGAUGAAGGCCUUAGGGUUGUAAAGCUCUUUUACCCGGGAUGAUAAUGACAGUACCGGGAGAAUAAGCUCCGGCUAACUCCGUG